AACAUGUCAAAAAUACAUCUUUUUGCUUAAAUAAAAAGAGUGAAGUCAGAAGAAGAAUGAGUUGAAUUUGUUGAUGUUUCUCGUGAUUCACUUACAUGCAGGUUUGACUGUAUCAUGGGAUCGAGUCCCAGCGACCUCCCGUCCGUCCUGGUCCACACACCAACAGUACGUGGUCUCCCCGUAACACUGAACCGGACUGUGGGCACAAGAACCAGCAGAACCCUGCUCUCGUUCACUUGUUUGGUGUAAGAAAGAGGAUGCUGGUGUGGGACGUACCUGAACUCUCCGUCCGACUGGCACUGAGUCUACAGACAGUGACCCGGGUGAGGUUCUGGUUCCUGGUCUCUCCUGCCCACUGCUGUCCACACACCAGCAGUAUCCACUGGACCCGUGACACUGAAGCAGACACAUUAAAGCAGGCGUGUGUGAGGCCUGCAGCACCAUCAGAGACGGACACGUGAGGACGUCUCAGCAGAUGCUAACCUGGCGUGGAACAUACUGUCCGUCUUCGUCACACUGCGGUACAUAAGCUCCAGCUAAGGGACUUUCACCUGCACUGCUGGCCAGAACACUUUCUCUGAGGCGCUCGCAGUGAGUCCUCGGCUGGGGAGCUUCAUCUGAGGGGGAGGGGCUUAACGUUACAGAUUGUUGCAGAAACGUUUCUUUGUAAGAUACUGAAGAUAAAGCGGUGAGUCUUUGCAACAAUACUGUGCAAUUAAUUGAUGCGAAGAUGAGAGAGAAGCUGCACCUGGGUUGCUGCAGUCGACAGACGGCGUACCAGGCGCCGACCGAGUUCCUGUUCGCUCCUGUCCAGAACUGUCCACACACCAGCAGUAUCCAGUGGAGUCAUGGCACUAUAAGAAGAGCAAUCUCUACUUUAAUCGAAGCAAGCCUUAAGAAUCUGUAAAAAUAAAAACGUCUUAAAGAUGCUAACCUGCUGCGGGACAUACUCCCCGUUUUCAUCACACUGUGGGACGUAGGUGCCGACUGAGGGGCGGCCGUCUCGCUCAGAGCUCAACACGUGUUCCCUGUGGAGCUGGCAUCGAGUCUUAAAGUGUGGUUGUUCAUCUGAGAAUAAAAACAGAAAGUAAAUGUGAUCGAGGAAAAGAGCAGAAAUCAUUUUAAUUCAAGAAAUUCAAACAUUUUUGUCUCAAACA
This 1157-nucleotide long non-coding RNA is filed under the name Oryzias javanicus (javanese ricefish). Its description in RNAcentral is "lncRNA (ENSOJAG00000000348.1)". Lineage: Eukaryota; Metazoa; Chordata; Actinopteri; Beloniformes; Adrianichthyidae. The record is from RNAcentral.